AGAGUUUGAUUAGGGCUCAGAUUGAACGCUGGCGGCAGGCUUAACACAUGCAAGUCGAGCGGCAGCGGAAAGAAGCUUGCUUCUUUGCCGGCGAGCGGCGGACGGGUGAGUAAUGUCUGGGGAUCUGCCCGAUGGAGGGGGAUAACUACUGGAAACGGUAGCUAAUACCGCAUAAUGUCGCAAGACCAAAGUGGGGGACCUUCGGGCCUCACACCAUCGGAUGAACCCAGAUGGGAUUAGCUAGUAGGUGGGGUAAUGGCUCACCUAGGCGACGAUCCCUAGCUGGUCUGAGAGGAUGACCAGCCACACUGGAACUGAGACACGGUCCAGACUCCUACGGGAGGCAGCAGUGGGGAAUAUUGCACAAUAGGGGAAACCCUGAUGCAGCCAUGCCGCGUGUGUGAAGAAGGCCUUCGGGUUGUAAAGCACUUUCAGCGGGGAGGAAGGCAAUGGCGUUAAUAGUGUCAUUGAUUGACGUUACCCGCAGAAGAAGCACCGGCUAACUCCGUGCCAGCAGCCGCGGUAAUACGGAGGGUGCGAGCGUUAAUCGGAAUUACUGGGCGUAAAGCGUACGCAGGCGGUCUGUUAAGUCAGAUGUGAAAUCCCCGGGCUUAACCUGGGAACUGCAUUUGAAACUGGCAGGCUAGAGUCUCGUAGAGGGGGGUAGAAUUCCAGGUGUAGCGGUGAAAUGCGUAGAGAUCUGGAGGAAUACCGGUGGCGAAGGCGGCCCCCUGGACGAAGACUGACGCUCAGGUACGAAAGCGUGGGGAGCAAACAGGAUUAGAUACCCUGGUAGUCCACGCUGUAAACGAUGUCGAUUUGAAGGUUGUGGUCUUGAGCCGUGGCUUUCGGAGCUAACGCGUUAAAUCGACCGCCUGGGGAGUACGGCCGCA
Molecule: ribosomal RNA, 893 nt
Filed under: uncultured bacterium
Lineage: Bacteria
Description: bacterial SSU rRNA
Rfam family: Bacterial small subunit ribosomal RNA
Source: RNAcentral